This 445-nucleotide ribosomal RNA is filed under the name uncultured soil bacterium. RNAcentral describes it as "bacterial SSU rRNA". It matches the Rfam family "Bacterial small subunit ribosomal RNA", at positions 26 to 518 of the family's 1533-position model. The record is from RNAcentral.
AGAACGAACGCUGGCGGCAUGCCUAACACAUGCAAGUCGAACGAGACCUUCGGGUCUAGUGGCGCACGGGUGCGUAACGCGUGGGAAUCUGCCCUUGGGUUCGGGAUAACAGUUGGAAACGACUGCUAAUACCGGAUGAUGUCUUCGGACCAAAGAUUUAUCGCCCAAGGAUGAGCCCGCGUAGGAUUAGCUUGUUGGUGAGGUAAGAGCUCACCAAGGCGACGAUCCUUAGCUGGUCUGAGAGGAUGAUCAGCCACACUGGGACUGAGACACGGCCCAGACUCCUACGGGAGGCAGCAGUGGGGGAAUAUUGGACAAUGGGCGAAAGCCUGAUCCAGCAAUGCCGCGUGAGUGAUGAAGGCCUUAGGGUCGUAAAGCUCUUUACCCGGGAUGAUAAUGACAGUACCGGAGAAUAAGCCCCGGCUAACUCCGUGCCAGCAGCCGC